This 760-nucleotide long non-coding RNA is filed under the name Homo sapiens (human). RNAcentral describes it as "non-protein coding lnc-SENP1-2:2". The record is from RNAcentral. Lineage: Eukaryota; Metazoa; Chordata; Mammalia; Primates; Hominidae.
CCCGCUUCCCCCUCCUGCUCCAAGGGCCUCCUGCAUGAGGGCGCGGUAGAGACCCGGACCCGCGCCGUGCUCCUGCCGUUUCGCUGCGCUCCGCCCGGGCCCGGCUCAGCCAGGCCCCGCGGUGAGCCAUGAUUCGCCUCGGGGCUCCCCAGACGCUGGUGCUGCUGACGCUGCUCGUCGCCGCUGUCCUUCGGUGUCAGGGCCAGGAUGUCCCAUGAAUUCCAGACGGCAGGGCGCUGGUGGAGGAGACUAGUCCCUGCUAUUCUUCCUCUGCAGUCUUGGAGGAGGCCAGGCCUGGACUGGCCAAUCUUAGCCCUAGCCAGAGGAGGCUGGCAGCUGUGUGCAGGAUGGGCAGAGGUAUAAUGAUAAGGAUGUGUGGAAGCCGGAGCCCUGCCGGAUCUGUGUCUGUGACACUGGGACUGUCCUCUGCGACGACAUAAUCUGUGAAGACGUGAAAGACUGCCUCAGCCCUGAGAUCCCCUUCGGAGAGUGCUGCCCCAUCUGCCCAACUGACCUCGCCACUGCCAGUGGGCAACCAGGACCAAAGGGACAGAAAGGAGAACCUGGAGACAUCAAGGAUAUUGUAGGACCCAAAGGACCUCCUGGGCCUCAGGGACCUGCAGGGGAACAAGGACCCAGAGGGGAUCGUGGUGACAAAGGUGAAAAAGGUGCCCCUGGACCUCGUGGCAGAGAUGGAGAACCUGGGACCCCUGGAAAUCCUGGCCCCCCUGGUCCUCCCGGCCCCCCUGGUCCCCCUGGU